UCAAUGAAUAUUUGAUCAGCAUCAUACAUGGUCAAACUCAAAGCCAUGAAAAUUGCAAACAGAGCAAAAAAAUUUUAAGGUUUCUGGUCCAAUUAUUGAGAUUAGCGAACCAGAGAAUGUUUUGACACCACUCUGGCUUUUCUAUGUCAAAUAUCGAGAGACAAUUUAUUUCAGGCUAAUUUUGC
Molecule: long non-coding RNA, 185 nt
Organism: Thalassophryne amazonica
Lineage: Eukaryota; Metazoa; Chordata; Actinopteri; Batrachoidiformes; Batrachoididae
Exons: 3
Source: RefSeq, a predicted model, not a curated record